This 405-nucleotide ribosomal RNA is filed under the name uncultured bacterium. RNAcentral describes it as "bacterial SSU rRNA". It matches the Rfam family "Bacterial small subunit ribosomal RNA", at positions 354 to 776 of the family's 1533-position model. The record is from RNAcentral.
GUGGGGAAUAUUGCACAAUGGGGGAAACCCUGAUGCAGCGACGCCGCGUGAAGGAAGAAGUAUCUCGGUAUGUAAACUUCUAUCAGCAGGGAAGAUAAUGACGGUACCUGACUAAGAAGCCCCGGCUAACUACGUGCCAGCAGCCGCGGUAAUACGUAGGGGGCAAGCGUUAUCCGGAUUUACUGGGUGUAAAGGGAGCGUAGACGGCAUGGCAAGUCUGAUGUGAAAGGCAGGGGCUCAACUCCUGGACUGCAUUGGAAACUGCCGGGCUUGAGUGCCGGAGGGGUAAGCGGAAUUCCUAGUGUAGCGGUGAAAUGCGUAGAUAUUAGGAGGAACACCAGUGGCGAAGGCGGUCUGCUGGACAGCAACUGACGCUGAGGCGCGAAAGCGUGGGGAGCAAACAGG